Molecule: ribosomal RNA, 492 nt
Filed under: uncultured bacterium
Lineage: Bacteria
Description: partial 16S ribosomal RNA
Rfam family: Bacterial small subunit ribosomal RNA
Source: RNAcentral
AGUGAACGCUGGCGGUAGGCCUAACACAUGCAAGUCGAACGGCAGCACAGUAAGAGCUUGCUCUUACGGGUGGCGAGUGGCGGACGGGUGAGGAAUACAUCGGAAUCUACUUUUUCGUGGGGGAUAACGUAGGGAAACUUACGCUAAUACCGCAUACGACCUACGGGUGAAAGCAGGGGAUCUUCGGACCUUGCGCGAUUGAAUGAGCCGAUGUCGGAUUAGCUAGUUGGCGGGGUAAAGGCCCACCAAGGCGACGAUCCGUAGCUGGUCUGAGAGGAUGAUCAGCCACACUGGAACUGAGACACGGUCCAGACUCCUACGGGAGGCAGCAGUGGGGAAUAUUGGACAAUGGGCGCAAGCCUGAUCCAGCCAUACCGCGUGGGUGAAGAAGGCCUUCGGUUUGUAAAGCCCUUUUGUUGGGAAAGAAAAGCAGCAGGUUAAUACCCCGCUGUUUUGACGGUACCCAAAGAAUAAGCACCGGCUAACUUCGUG